GGGGCGGUAGCUCAGUCAGGCAGAGCAGGAAAAGCAUCCUCUGCAUCCCUUGCUCUAUUGCAGAGCCGCAGCGUGAGGGUUAUCGACUUCUCAUCGCCGGGUCGUGGGUUCGAAUCCCACCCGCUCCACCA
This 131-nucleotide transfer RNA is filed under the name Pleurocapsa sp. SU_196_0. Its description in RNAcentral is "tRNA-OTHER". It matches the Rfam family "tRNA". Rfam says of the family: Transfer RNA (tRNA) molecules are approximately 80 nucleotides in length. Their secondary structure includes four short double-helical elements and three loops (D, anti-codon, and T loops). The record is from RNAcentral. Lineage: Bacteria; Bacillati; Cyanobacteriota; Cyanophyceae; Pleurocapsales; Pleurocapsaceae.